Molecule: non-coding RNA, 72 nt
Organism: Phrynosoma platyrhinos (Desert horned lizard)
Lineage: Eukaryota; Metazoa; Chordata; Lepidosauria; Squamata; Phrynosomatidae
Source: the annotation of a GenBank genome assembly
ACCAGCAUGGUUUAAUGGCUUGAGUGUUAGACUAUGACUCCAGAGACCUGGGUUCGAUUCCCAGCUCGGCCA